RNAcentral lists this ribosomal RNA (492 nucleotides) under uncultured bacterium. RNAcentral describes it as "partial 16S ribosomal RNA". It matches the Rfam family "Bacterial small subunit ribosomal RNA", at positions 29 to 507 of the family's 1533-position model. The record is from RNAcentral.
AGUGAACGCUGGCGGUAGGCCUAACACAUGCAAGUCGAACGGCAGCACAGUAAGAGCUUGCUCUUACGGGUGGCGAGUGGCGGACGGGUGAGGAAUACAUCGGAAUCUACUUUUUCGUGGGGGAUAACGUAGGGAAACUUACGCUAAUACCGCAUACGACCUACGGGUGAAAGCAGGGGAUCUUCGGACCUUGCGCGAUUGAAUGAGCCGAUGUCGGAUUAGCUAGUUGGCGGGGUAAAGGCCCACCAAGGCGACGAUCCGUAGCUGGUCUGAGAGGAUGAUCAGCCACACUGGAACUGAGACACGGUCCAGACUCCUACGGGAGGCAGCAGUGGGGAAUACUGGACAAUGGGCGAAAGCCUGAUCCAGCCAUACCGCGUGGGUGAAGAAGGCCUUCGGGUUGUAAAGCCCUUUUGUUGGGAAAGAAAAGCAGCAGGUUAAUACCCCGCUGUUCUGACGGUACCCAAAGAAUAAGCACCGGCUAACUUCGCG